This 467-nucleotide ribosomal RNA is filed under the name uncultured bacterium. RNAcentral describes it as "bacterial SSU rRNA". It matches the Rfam family "Bacterial small subunit ribosomal RNA", at positions 29 to 527 of the family's 1533-position model. The record is from RNAcentral.
AACGAACGCUGGCGGCGCGCUUAACACAUGCAAGUCGAACGCAUGCUUGAUCUUCGGGUUGGGCAUGAGUGGCGGACGGGUGAGUAACGCGUGGGAACCUGCCCUGAGGUUCGGGACAACCGUGGGAAACUGCGGCUAAUACCGGAUAUCUCCUUUGGGAGAAAGACUUGUCGCCUUGGGAGGGGCCCGCGUCGGAUUAGCUUGUUGGUGGGGUAACGGCCUACCAAGGCGACGAUCCGUAGCUGGUCUGAGAGGAUGAUCAGCCACACUGGGACUGAGACACGGCCCAGACUCCUACGGGAGGCAGCAGUGGGGAAUAUUGGACAAUGGGCGAAAGCCUGAUCCAGCAAUGCCGCGUGUGUGAAGAAGGCCUGCGGGUUGUAAAGCACUUUCAGUAGGGAAGAUUAUGACGGUACCUACAGAAGAAGCACCGGCUAACUCCGUGCCAGCAGCCGCGUAAAGUGACU